Molecule: long non-coding RNA, 2288 nt
Organism: Astatotilapia calliptera (eastern happy)
Lineage: Eukaryota; Metazoa; Chordata; Actinopteri; Cichliformes; Cichlidae
Source: Ensembl
GUUAACCAUUAAGUGACAUCUCAACCAUUUAGUAGAGAUCAAUAUUUUAAAAACUACAGGGUCUAUUGAAAAAAAAAUAUUGAUUGUGGUUAUUACUCACCCAAGUCAAUAAGAAAUGCAAAGAGAAUUUUUUUUUUCCAUUGCUUUUUUCUUGGUGUGGACCUCAAAGGGUUAACAUACUCGCAACUAUUUUAACUAUUAAAAACUACUAUUAUAAUCGAACCCAAUUAAUUUGUACUGGUUUGUGCGGUUAUUUGUAAGCAACAAAACAGAAAAUAGUUUUUAAAUAUUCAGGAUUGGAAAUCAGAGAUUGAUUUUAAAAGCCAUUUGUAGCAUUUGUGCAAUCUAUUCUUAUCUCUUCCUAUAUUAUGUCUUCUUUCUUUUUUCUUUUCUUUUCUAAAAGUGUGCACCAGCUGAUGUGACUGAAACAAUUGUGUGUGAUUGUUUCACAGAUGAUGGUAAUGGUCCAAUCCUGGUGAGUCCUGUUCAUCCUGUGACUGAGGGAGCUUCUGUUAGUCUGAGCUGCAGUUUGAGAACACAAAAAAUACUUUCCAAUGUGUUUUUCUAUCACAAUGACAAACUUAUUGAAAAUGAUCCCCGAGGGGAGCUGAAGAUCUCUGCAGUGUCAAAGUCUGAUGAAGGUUUCUACAAGUGUCAGUACUCAGGAAGAGAGUCAGCACAGAGCUGGAUGUCAGUUAAAGUAGGUGUGUUAUGUCCUGAAAGCUCUUCUUUGCCUGUGUGGUUGAUUGUUGGAUUGGCUUGUGGAAUCUCUGUCUUUAUUAUUGUCCUGCUCUCGUUUUAUCACUUUAGAAAAAAAAAGGAUUCAGGCUUCAUCAGUCCAAUGACCACCACCAAUCAUGUAGUCAACCAGAGUGAAAUUCACAAACACAACUGUCUUGACCAUGGUGCAGGUGAAAUACACGAUGUUACAUACUCUGUAAUUCAGCUUAAACAUGUUGGAAAAAAGAGGAAGCGUCAUAAAUCACAGGAGCAUACUAUUUACUCAGAGGUGAAGGUGGGAGUUGAAGAAGACAUUCCAACAUAUGCCGAGAUCAACCGUCACAAUAAAGCAAAAGCUAAGGAAAACCAGGAAGACAGUCCAACGUAUGCCCAGGUCAACCGUCACAAUAAAAGAGCAUCCAAGAACAACCAGCGUCAUUGAACCGAAUUGUAGCAGUAAAACCAACCUCAAGCUUCUUAUACAGAAAUGUCUGUAGCUUGUUCAGUAUUUUGUACAGUUUUUUUAGUGAUAGUCAUCAUCAUUAUAAUAUACAGUAUACAAUAUAUAUAAUAUAUGGUACAGACAAGGUGUUUUCAUUUAGUGUUCAUAUUAUCUGUAUUCAUUUAAUAAUAAAACAUGAUUUAAAGUUAGCUUUUGCAGUGUAACAUACGAUAGGUUCCUCUAUGGGUACAAAGAAAUACUAUAAAUGCAUGUAUUGAAAGUUUUUGAACAUUACCUAAAAGAGGACUGAUAUAAUACUGUAUGGAUUUAAAUGUGUGAAUAAAUGCAUUUCUUCAUGGAAAUUGUAUGCAGUUAUAGUUUGGGUUUUUAUCUUUUUUUAUUUUGGCCUGAGCAGUGUUUUUGUUCUAUCAUGAUAUAGCUCUACAAUAUAAUUGUAAAAAUGUAAAGGAUUUAUCUUUUGUAACUUUCAACUAAAUGACCAUGUAUACAAUAUGAAUAGCAAAUCACAGAGACAGCUUAAAGUUAAUAGACAUUUAGUACUGGGGUUCUAUUAUUUUGAAAAACGAGUGUUUAGAAAAUCCAAUCAGAGUAAAUUCUCCGCUAUAAAAAUUUUCCUCUACAUUGGACCUAAUAAUUUGCUCAUGCACCAUUUUUCUUCCGAUCUUCACUGAAAAUGGGAAAAUACUAUUUUCAGACAAAGACUCAAAAUCUCAAAAUUUUGGCAAUCUGGGUUGGUCAAAAAUCAACCAAGCAACUUUUUUUUUUUUUUCUUCGCAAUUUUGAGACCAACUGAACAGCUUUAUCCUUUCAUCUCUGCAUAUAAUGUUGGAACACCUGGGCUUGAGGUACCCCUGUUCUGAGUAAGCUUGGUUAUAAAAGUGCCCUCCUUUCUGCAGUCACACCUCUCCAUUGCUCUCUGUCUGGAUUUUUGUUUAAAGCCUUCUGACUUGGACAAGCCAGGAUAUAGCAUGAUUUCUUGAGUCAUUUUUUGUUGCUUUCUACAUGCUUUGCUAUGCAUCCUGCAUUAACGAUGGGCAACAACAUUUUGGUAUUGAUCCAAUGUUGUGUGCACUUUAUGUAGUCCUGUAUUGAUUUACUGUUUUAU